This 484-nucleotide ribosomal RNA is filed under the name uncultured bacterium. RNAcentral describes it as "partial 16S ribosomal RNA". It matches the Rfam family "Bacterial small subunit ribosomal RNA", at positions 30 to 507 of the family's 1533-position model. The record is from RNAcentral.
AUUGAACGCUGGCGGCAGGCCUAACACAUGCGAGUCGAGCGGAUGAAGGGAGCUUGCUCCUGGAUUCAGCGGCGGACGGGUGAGUAAUGCCUAGGAAUCUGCCUGGUAGUGGGGGAUAACGUCCGGAAACGGGCGCUAAUACCGCAUACGUCCUGAGGGAGAAAGUGGGGGAUCUUCGGACCUCACGCUAUCAGAUGAGCCUAGGUCGGAUUAGCUAGUUGGUGGGGUAAAGGCCUACCAAGGCGACGAUCCGUAACUGGUCUGAGAGGAUGAUCAGUCACACUGGAACUGAGACACGGUCCAGACUCCUACGGGAGGCAGCAGUGGGGAAUAUUGGACAAUGGGCGAAAGCCUGAUCCAGCCAUGCCGCGUGUGUGAAGAAGGUCUUCGGAUUGUAAAGCACUUUAAGUUGGGAGGAAGGGCAGUAAGUUAAUACCUUGCUGUUCUGACGUUACCAACAGAAUAAGCACCGGCUAACUUCGUG